AACAAAACAUGGCCUUUUGAGCUUAAUUUAAGGUCGGGCCUGCCCACUGAUAAAAAUUAAAGGGCCGCGGUAUUUUGACCGUGCAAAGGUAGCAUAAUCAUUAGUCUUUUAAUUGAGGGCUAGAAUGAAUGGUUUGACGAAAUAUUAACUGUCUCUUUAUAAUAAGUAGAAUUUAACUUCUGAGUUAAAAGGCUUAGAUGUUUGUAAAAGACGAGAAGACCCUAUAGAUCUUUAUAUAUAAAUAUUCUUAUUUUGUUUAGAUGGGGUUUUAAUAGGAAUAUGAUUGUAUUUUGUUGGGGUGACAUGAAGAUAAAAUUAACUCUUUAUUAUAUAAACAUUGAUUUAUGAUUUAUUGAUCCGUUAUUAGCGAUUAUAAGAAAAAGUUACCUUAGGGAUAACAGCGUAAUUUUUUUUGAGAGUUCUUAUCGACAAGAAAGAUUGCGACCUCGA
RNAcentral lists this ribosomal RNA (450 nucleotides) under Pholidoptera fallax. RNAcentral's name for it is "partial 16S ribosomal RNA". It matches the Rfam family "Bacterial large subunit ribosomal RNA", at positions 1809 to 2529 of the family's 2925-position model. The record is from RNAcentral. Lineage: Eukaryota; Metazoa; Arthropoda; Insecta; Orthoptera; Tettigoniidae.